CCUUUAAUGUUUGAUGUUCUAACGUUGGCCCGUAAUCCGGGUUGCGGACAGUGUCUGGUGGGUAGUUUGACUGGGGCGGUCUCCUCCUAAAGAGUAACGGAGGAGCACGAAGGUUGGCUAAUCCUGGUCGGACAUCAGGAGGUUAGUGCAAUGGCAUAAGCCAGCUUGACUGCGAGCGUGACGGCGCGAGCAGGUGCGAAAGCAGGUCAUAGUGAUCCGGUGGUUCUGAAUGGAAGGGCCAUCGCUCAACGGAUAAAAGGUACUCCGGGGAUAACAGGCUGAUACCGCCCAAGAGUUCAUAUCGACGGCGGUGUUUGGCACCUCGAUGUCGGCUCAUCACAUCCUGGGGCUGAAGUAGGUCCCAAGGGUAUGGCUGUUCGCCAUUUAAAGUGGUACGCGAGCUGGGUUUAGAACGUCGUGAGACAGUUCGGUCCCUAUCUGCCGUGGGCGCUGGAGAACUGAGGGGGGCUGCUCCUAGUACGAGAGGACCGGAGUGGACGCAUCACUGGUGUUCGGGUUGUCAUGCCAAUGGCACUGCCCGGUAGCUAAAUGCGGAAGAGAUAAGUGCUGAAAGCAUCUAAGCACGAAACUUGCCCCGAGAUGAGUUCUCCCUGACUCCUUGAGGGUCCUGAAGGAACGUUGAAGACGACGACGUUGAUAGGCCGGGUGUGUAAGCGCAGCGAUGCGUUGAGCUAACCGGUACUAAUGAACCGUGAGGCUUAACCUUACAACGCCGAAG
This 739-nucleotide ribosomal RNA is filed under the name Escherichia coli. Its description in RNAcentral is "partial 23S ribosomal RNA". It matches the Rfam family "Bacterial large subunit ribosomal RNA", at positions 2204 to 2925 of the family's 2925-position model. Lineage: Bacteria; Pseudomonadati; Pseudomonadota; Gammaproteobacteria; Enterobacterales; Enterobacteriaceae. The record is from RNAcentral.